Molecule: transfer RNA, 86 nt
Filed under: Croceibacterium salegens
Lineage: Bacteria; Pseudomonadati; Pseudomonadota; Alphaproteobacteria; Sphingomonadales; Erythrobacteraceae
Also listed under: 12 other names
Description: Altererythrobacter salegens tRNA-Tyr
Rfam family: tRNA
About the family: Transfer RNA (tRNA) molecules are approximately 80 nucleotides in length. Their secondary structure includes four short double-helical elements and three loops (D, anti-codon, and T loops). Further hydrogen bonds mediate the characteristic L-shaped molecular structure. tRNAs have two regions of fundamental functional importance: the anti-codon, which is responsible for specific mRNA codon recognition, and the 3' end, to which the tRNAs corresponding amino acid is attached (by aminoacyl-tRNA synthetases). tRNAs cope with the degeneracy of the genetic code in two manners: having more than one tRNA (with a specific anti-codon) for a particular amino acid; and 'wobble' base-pairing, i.e. permitting non-standard base-pairing at the 3rd anti-codon position.
Source: RNAcentral
GGACAGGUGGCCGAGUGGUUAAAGGCAGCAGACUGUAAAUCUGCCCGCGCAAGCGUACGGUGGUUCGAAUCCACCCCUGUCCACCA